Long non-coding RNA from Carcharodon carcharias (great white shark), 1521 nucleotides. RefSeq lists it as uncharacterized. The record is from RefSeq and is a predicted model, not a curated record. The transcript has 2 exons. Lineage: Eukaryota; Metazoa; Chordata; Chondrichthyes; Lamniformes; Lamnidae.
AACCUUUCCGCCAUAGGCUUCACAUUACAACUCAACUAGAAGAGCUCAACUCCCACUUUCAAAUCGUAUUUUGUAGCAAUUAAUUGAGUUAUACAUUUUUUAAAAAGUCAAAUCAAAACUAAUUAAAAUCCUCAAACUCCGCGACCUGGACAACUUAAACAGUGCAACAAUUCUCCUUAACUGAGCAACAUAAAAACAAGUUGUUUCCCCACUGAAAUCGCGAGUGCCGGAGAGUGAGGAUAGUUGCUGCAAGGAAUGAACUCACAGAGAAAGACACUUCUUCUGGGUGAAUUAACAAGUUGAAGAGGAAUCUGGAUCAACAUCAAAGUCUAUACCAUAUGCAUUGUGGACAGAACUGACUUUCAAGCCAAAUAGCCGCUUAUUGUUCUGGAUUCACCUUGGUUCACAACACAACAAAACAUGUAUUUCUAUAGAGCCAUGAGUGUAAUAAACUGUCCCAUUCCUGCACAGGAAUGUUAUAAAGCAAAAAAUUGUCAGCAAGACACAAAAAGCAGAUGUUAGGUUAGAUGAUCCAAAGCAAGGUCAGAGGGGUAAAGAGUGCUGUAGAGGAAAGGAAGAGAGACAGAGAGCUUAAUAGAUGGAUGAUGACAAAACUAAUGUUUGAGCAAUUAAAAUAAUGGAUGCUCUUGAGGUUAAAGGAUUAAAGUCAUGAAAAAAUUGAAAACUAGUCAAUAUGAGCUCCACAUCACAAACAGUCCCAAUCAGUGUGAGCUCCACAUCACAAACAGUCCCAAUCAGUGUGAGCUCCACAUCACAAACAGUCCCAAUCAGUGUGAGCUCCACAUCACAAACAGUCCCAAUCAGUGUGAGCUCCACAUCACAAACAGUCCCAAUCAGUGUGAGCUCCACAUCACAAACAGUCCCAAUCAGUGUGAGCUCCACAUCACAAACAGUCCCUAUCAGUGUGAACUCCACACCACAAACAGUCCCUAUCAGUGUGAGUUCCACACCACAAACUGUCCAAAACUGCUGCCGGUCAUUCCAGCCAUUCAGUUGAGGAUAUCCAAUAUGAAUUGGUACACAAUGGAGAUUCAGCCAGUCAGGGAAAAUCAGGUACUCUCUGAAGUUAAAUCCUAUCUGUAAAAUGAUAGGUGUACUCUGCCCUUGUUUCUUGUCUUGCCUUUAUUUCAAUGUUACAUCACAAUAUGCAGAAUACAGUCAGUCCCAGGCAUAAGCUCUUCAGUUACAUAGCUUUAAUAAAAUCAUUCCUUUUUAAACCUUUAAAUCUACUGCUUAUUUCCUGUAGCUCUGAAUGAUUAUAAAUUUGUGAAUUACCUUAUUUUGUGCAUCACCCUUUAUUCAGUUUGUGUGACGCUCAGCAAUCUUAGCAGCUUCCAGUUUCAACUUGUGGUAAAUGAGUUUUCAAGCUGCUAAUUGAAUCAAUUACUUGGUCAGGGCCUCUAUCUUCUGCUAAUUUAAUCAAUUGUUAAGGUGAUUACGGCCUUCUAUUUUCUGGAAUCAAAAAUAUGGAGAUUAAACGAACAAGAGAAAUUCUAACCA